CACCGCGGUUAUACGAGUAACUCACAUUAAUAUUUUCCCGGCGUAAAGAGUGAUUUAAGGAAUAUCUAUCAUAACUAAAGUUAAGACCUCGUCAAGCUGUUACACGCACCCACGAAUGGAAUUGUCAAUAACGAAAGUGACUUUAUCCCACUAGAAAUCUUGACGUCACGACAGUUAGACCC
Molecule: ribosomal RNA, 182 nt
Filed under: Alopias vulpinus (thresher shark)
Lineage: Eukaryota; Metazoa; Chordata; Chondrichthyes; Lamniformes; Alopiidae
Description: partial 12S rRNA
Source: RNAcentral